UAAUGAUGGGUAGGGGAGCUUCCCAUACGGGUUGAAGCAUGACCGUAAGGACAUGUGGACAGUAUGGGAGUGAGAAUGUUGGCAUGAGUAGCGAGAUGUGGGUGAGAAUCCCACAGGCCGUAAACCCAAGGUUUCCAGGGGAAGGUUCGUCCGCCCUGGGUUAGUCGGGACCUAAGCUGAGGCCGAAAGGCGUAGGUGAUGGACAACAGGUUGAUAUUCCUGUACUACCGAUAACCGUUUGAGAGAAGGGAUGACACAGUAGGAUAAGCUAAGCACACUGUUGGUUAUGUGUGCCCAAGCAUUGAGGCAGUCAAAGCAGGCAAAUCCGCUUUGAUAAUGCUGGGAUGUGAUGGGGAGCGAAAUUUAGUAGCGAAGUAGCUGAUUUCACACUGUCAAGAAAAGUCUCUAUCGAGGUUAAAGGUACCCGUACCGCAAACCGACACAGGUGGGUGAGGAGAGUAUCCUAAGGCCAGCGAGAGAACUGUUGUUAAGGAACUCGGCAAAAUGACCCCGUAACUUAGGGAUAAGGGGUGCCACCAUCCGGUGGCCGCAGAGAAUAGGCCCAAGCGACUGUUUACCAAAAACAUAGGUUUCUGCUAAGUCGCAAGACGAUGUAUAGGAGCUGACGCCUGCCCGGUGCUGGAAGGUUAAGGGGAUCUGUUAGAGCAAUCGAAGCAGUGAACUUAAGCCCCAGUAAACGGCGGCCGUAACUAUAACGGUCCUAAGGUAGCGAAAUUCCUUGUCGGGUAAGUUCCGACCCGCACGAAAGGCGUAACGAUUUGGGCACUGUCUCAACAACAGACUCGGUGAAAUUGUAA
Molecule: ribosomal RNA, 818 nt
Filed under: Clostridioides difficile
Lineage: Bacteria; Bacillati; Bacillota; Clostridia; Peptostreptococcales; Peptostreptococcaceae
Description: partial 23S ribosomal RNA
Rfam family: Bacterial large subunit ribosomal RNA
Source: RNAcentral